GACUUUGUAGCGCAAUGGUAGCGCGUCUGACUCCAGAUCAGAAGGUUGCGUGUUCGAAUCACGUCAGGGUUA
Molecule: transfer RNA, 72 nt
Filed under: Saccoglossus kowalevskii
Lineage: Eukaryota; Metazoa; Hemichordata; Enteropneusta; Harrimaniidae
Description: tRNA-Trp
Rfam family: tRNA
About the family: Transfer RNA (tRNA) molecules are approximately 80 nucleotides in length. Their secondary structure includes four short double-helical elements and three loops (D, anti-codon, and T loops).
Source: RNAcentral